UCAGUCAAUACAUUGAGCCUAAUACUAUCAAACUAGAAUAAAACCUGACCCAAUACUUCAAUAUGCAGACCUAUAUAAAUGUCUUUAGGGUUUUCAAAUUGCAUUUUAUUGUCUUCUCCACCAUUUGAGCUUCCUUCCAGGUGAGUAACCAUGGUUUCAAUGACCUUCAAUCCUCAAUUUAUGGUGUUGUUCCACUGGAUCAUUAACUCCUUGCCUAAAAUCUGGAAGAUUCCUGCUAUAAACAGCUCCCUAAAAUGUGGAAGGUAGUGAGAUAAAGGCUGCUCAGACCCACCAUUUUUGGAGAUGUGGUCUGCUUCUCAGGUGUAUUGGUUAGGUUAAAUUCACUCAACCCUUCCUCAUUACAUGAAGUGCACUUUUGAUGGAUGAAUCUGUAUAGGCUAGAUAGCUCUUGACUAUAGAUUGUACAUAGGUAUUUUUAAUCUAAUUUAACUCUAUUAGCUAUAACUAUAGCCUUCAGCCUCUUUAUUUUUUUUCAGUGACAAUCGUAUGUAUGUACACUGUAACUUAUCACUGUUAAGGAUUUUCUUACCUUUGACAUGUAAUUGCUGAAAUAUUAUUA
This is a long non-coding RNA of Capsicum annuum, 580 nucleotides long. RefSeq lists it as uncharacterized. The transcript is spliced from 2 exons. NCBI's taxonomy places the organism in Eukaryota, Viridiplantae, Streptophyta, Magnoliopsida, Solanales, Solanaceae. The record is from RefSeq and is a predicted model, not a curated record.